GUCGUCAGCUCGUGUCGUGAGAUGUUGGGUUAAGUCCCGCAACGAGCGCAACCCUUAAGCUUAGUUGCCAUCAUUAAGUUGGGCACUCUAAGUUGACUGCCGGUGACAAACCGGAGGAAGGUGGGGAUGACGUCAAAUCAUCAUGCCCCUUAUGAUUUGGGCUACACACGUGCUACAAUGGACAAUACAAAGGGCAGCGAAACCGCGAGGUCAAGCAAAUCCCAUAAAGUUGUUCUCAGUUCGGAUUGUAGUCUGCAACUCGACUACAUGAAGCUGGAAUCGCUAGUAAUCGUAGAUCAGCAUGCUACGGUGAAUACGUUCCCGGGUCUUGUACACACCGCCCGUCACACCACGAGAGUUUGUAACACCCGAAGCCGGUGGAGUAACCUUUUAGGAGCUAGCCGUCGAAGGUGGGACAAAUGAUUGGGGUGAAGUCGUAACAAGGUAGCCGUAUCGGAAGGUGCGGCUGGAUCACCUCCUUUCUA
RNAcentral lists this ribosomal RNA (485 nucleotides) under Staphylococcus aureus. Its description in RNAcentral is "bacterial SSU rRNA". It matches the Rfam family "Bacterial small subunit ribosomal RNA", at positions 1051 to 1533 of the family's 1533-position model. Lineage: Bacteria; Bacillati; Bacillota; Bacilli; Caryophanales; Staphylococcaceae. The record is from RNAcentral.